RNAcentral lists this ribosomal RNA (1499 nucleotides) under uncultured prokaryote. RNAcentral describes it as "partial 16S ribosomal RNA". It matches the Rfam family "Bacterial small subunit ribosomal RNA". The record is from RNAcentral.
AGAGUUUGAUCCUGGCUCAGAUUGAACGCUGGCGGCAUGCCUAACACAUGCAAGUCGAACGGUAACGCGGAGAGCUUGCUCUCUGGCGACGAGUGGCGGACGGGUGAGUAAUACUUAGGAAUCUGCCCAAUAGUGGGGGACAACAUGAGGAUACUCGAGCUAAUACCGCAUACGCCCUACGGGGGAAAGCGGGGGAUCUUCGGACCUCGCGCUAUUGGAUGAGCCUAAGUCGGAUUAGCUUGUUGGUGAGGUAAAGGCUCACCAAGGCGACGAUCCGUAGCUGGUCUGAGAGGACGAUCAGCCACACUGGGACUGAGACACGGCCCAGACUCCUACGUGAGGCAGCAGUGGGGAAUUUUGGACAAUGGGCGCAAGCCUGAUCCAGCAAUGCCGCGUGUGUGAAGAAGGCCUGCGGGUUGUAAAGCACUUUCAGUAGAGAAGAAAAGCCUACGGUUAAUAGCCGUGAGUCUUGACGUAACCUACAGAAGAAGCACCGGCUAACUCCGUGCCAGCAGCCACGGUAGUACGGAGGGUGCAAGCGUUAAUUGGAAUUACUGCGCGAAAAGCGCGCGUAGGCGGUUAAUUAAGUCAGAUGUGAACGCCCCGGGCUCAACCUGGGCACUGCAUUUGAAACUGGUUAACUAGAGUGUGGUAGAGGAGCGUGGAAUUUCAGGUGUAGCGGUGAAAUGCGUAGAGAUGUGAAGGAACCCCAGUGGCGAAGACGGCUCUCUGGACCAACACUGACGCUGAGGUGCGAAAGCGUGGGUAGCAAACGGGAUUAGAUCCCCCGGUAGUCCACGCCGUAAACGAUGUCAACUAACUGUUGGGCGGGUUUCCGCUUAGUGGUGCGCAGCUAACGCACUAAGUUGACCGCCUGGGGAGUACGGCCGCAAGGUUAAAACUCAAAUGAAUUGACGGGGGCCCGCACAAGCGGUGGAGCAUGUGGUUUAAUUCCAUGCAACGCGAAGAACCUUACCAGGUCUUGACAUCCUGAGAAUCUUGUAGAGAUACGAGAGCGCCUUCGGGAGCGCAGUGACAGGUGCUGCAUGGCUGUCGUCAGCUCGUGUCGUGAGAUGUUGGGUUAAGUCCCGUAACGAGCGCAACCCUUGUCCUUAUUUGCCAGCACGUAAUGGUGGGAACUCUAAGGAGACUGCCGGUGACAAACCGGAAGAAGGUGAGGACGACGUCAAGUCAUCAUGGCCCUUACGAGUAGGGCUACACACGUGCUACAAUGGCCGGUACAGAGGGCUGCUAAACCGCGAGGUGGCGCUAAUGUCAGAAAACCGGUCGUAGUCCGGAUCGGAGUCUGCAACUCGACUCCGUGAAGUCGGAAUCGCUAGUAAUCGUGAAUCAGAAUGUCGCGGUGAAUACGUUCCCGGGCCUUGUACACACCGCCCGUCACACCAUGGGAGUUGGCUGCACCAGAAGUAGAUUGCCCGACCUUCGGGGGGGCGUUUACCACGGUGUGGUUAAUGACUGGGGUGAAGUCGUAACAAGGU